RNAcentral lists this ribosomal RNA (498 nucleotides) under uncultured bacterium. RNAcentral's name for it is "partial 16S ribosomal RNA". It matches the Rfam family "Bacterial small subunit ribosomal RNA", at positions 28 to 507 of the family's 1533-position model. The record is from RNAcentral.
GACGAACGCUGGCGGCGUGCCUAAUACAUGCAAGUCGAGCGGACGAAUCGAAAGCUUGCUUUUGAUUCGUUAGCGGCGGACGGGUGAGUAACACGUGGGCAACCUGCCCUGUAGACGGGGAUAACACCGAGAAAUCGGUGCUAAUACCGGAUAACACGAAAUGUCGCAUGACGUUUCGUUGAAAGACGGCGCAAGCUGUCGCUACAGGAUGGGCCCGCGGCGCAUUAGCUAGUUGGUGAGGUAACGGCUCACCAAGGCGACGAUGCGUAGCCGACCUGAGAGGGUGAUCGGCCACACUGGGACUGAGACACGGCCCAGACUCCUACGGGAGGCAGCAGUAGGGAAUCUUCCGCAAUGGACGAAAGUCUGACGGAGCAACGCCGCGUGAGCGAAGAAGGUCUUCGGGUCGUAAAGCUCUGUUGUUAGGGAAGAACAAGUAACGCAGUAACUGGCGUUACCGUGACGGUACCUAACGAGAAAGCCACGGCUAACUACGUG